CCCUUAGAUGCUCUGGGCCGCACGCGCGCUACACUGGUCGAUGCAACGAGUUUCUUUCCUUGGCCGACAGGCCUGGGCAAUCUUUGAACAUCGAUCGUGAUCGGGAUAGAUUCUUGUAAUUUUUGAUCUUAAACGAGGAAUUCCUAGUAAACGCAAGUCAUCAAUCUGCAUUGAUUACGUCCCUGCCCUUUGUACACACCGCCCGUCGCACCUACCGAUUGGAUGGUCCGGUGAAGCCUCGGGAUUGUGGUUCUUGCCGCUUUAUUGUGGCGUGACCGCGAGAACUUGUCUAAACCUUAUCAUCUAGAGGAAGGUGAAGUCGUAACA
This 327-nucleotide ribosomal RNA is filed under the name uncultured eukaryote. Its description in RNAcentral is "partial 18S ribosomal RNA". It matches the Rfam family "Eukaryotic small subunit ribosomal RNA", at positions 1470 to 1796 of the family's 1831-position model. The record is from RNAcentral.